AUACGUAGGGCGCAAGCGUUGUCCGGAAUUAUUGGGCGUAAAGAGCUCGUAGGCGGUCAGUCGCGUCUGCUGUGAAAACCCGAGGCUCAACCUCGGGCCUGCAGUGGGUACGGGCUGACUAGAGUGCGGUAGGGGAGACUGGAAUUCCUGGUGUAGCGGUGGAAUGCGCAGAUAUCAGGAGGAACACCGAUGGCGAAGGCAGGUCUCUGGGCCGCAACUGACGCUGAGGAGCGAAAGCAUGGGGAGCGAACAGGAUUAGAUACCCUGGUAGUCCAUGCCGUAAACGUUGGGCACUAGGUGUGGGACUCAUUCCACGAGUUCCGUGCCGCAGCUAACGCAUUAAGUGCCCCGCCUGGGGAGUACGGCCGCAAGGCUAAA
RNAcentral lists this ribosomal RNA (378 nucleotides) under uncultured bacterium. RNAcentral's name for it is "bacterial SSU rRNA". It matches the Rfam family "Bacterial small subunit ribosomal RNA", at positions 523 to 898 of the family's 1533-position model. The record is from RNAcentral.